AACCGCCGUGUAUGGAACCGUACGCACGGUGGUGUGAGAGGUCGAAAUUUCUGCGAAAGCAGAAAUUUCUCCUACUCGAU
Molecule: non-coding RNA, 80 nt
Filed under: Enterocloster clostridioformis
Lineage: Bacteria; Bacillati; Bacillota; Clostridia; Lachnospirales; Lachnospiraceae
Source: RNAcentral